AGUGAACGCUGGCGGUAGGCCUAACACAUGCAAGUCGAACGGCAGCACAGUAAGAGCUUGCUCUUACGGGUGGCGAGUGGCGGACGGGUGAGGAAUACAUCGGAAUCUACUUUUUUGUGGGGGAUAACGUAGGGAAACUUACGCUAAUACCGCAUACGACCUACGGGUGAAAGCAGGGGAUCUUCGGACCUUGCGCGAUUGAAUGAGCCGAUGUCGGAUUAGCUAGUUGGCGGGGUAAAGGCCCACCAAGGCGACGACCCGUAGCUGGUCUGAGAGGAUGAUCAGCCACACUGGAACUGAGACACGGUCCAGACUCCUACGGGAGGCAGCAGUGGGGAAUAUUGGACAAUGGGCGCAAGCCUGAUCCAGCCAUACCGCGUGGGUGAAGAAGGCCUUCGGGUUGUAAAGCCCUUUUGUCGGGAAAGAAAAGCAGCAGGUUAAUACCCCGCUGUUCUGACGGUACCCAAAGAAUAAGCACCGGCUAACUUCGUG
RNAcentral lists this ribosomal RNA (492 nucleotides) under uncultured bacterium. RNAcentral's name for it is "partial 16S ribosomal RNA". It matches the Rfam family "Bacterial small subunit ribosomal RNA", at positions 29 to 507 of the family's 1533-position model. The record is from RNAcentral.